GACGAACGCUGGCGGCGUGCUUAACACAUGCAAGUCGAACGGAAAGGCCCUGCUUUUGUGGGGUGCUCGAGUGGCGAACGGGUGAGUAACACGUGAGUAACCUGCCCUUGACUUUGGGAUAACUUCAGGUAACUGGGGCUAAUACCGGAUAGGAGCUCCUGCUGCAUGGUGGGGGUUGGAAAGUUUCGGCGGUUGGGGAUGGACUCGCGGCUUAUCAGCUUGUUGGUGGGGUAGUGGCUUACCAAGGCUUUGACGGGUAGCCGUCCUGAGAGGGUGACCGGCCACAUUGGGACUGAGAUACGGCCCAGACUACUACGGGAGGCAGCAGUGGGGAAUAUUGCACAAUGGGCGGAAGCCUGAUGCAGCAACGCCGCGUGCGGGAUGACGGCCUUCGGGUUGUAAGCCGCUUUCGCCUGUGACGAAGCGUGAGUGACGGUAAUGGGUAAAGAAGCACCGGCUAACUACGUG
This 468-nucleotide ribosomal RNA is filed under the name uncultured bacterium. Its description in RNAcentral is "partial 16S ribosomal RNA". It matches the Rfam family "Bacterial small subunit ribosomal RNA", at positions 28 to 507 of the family's 1533-position model. The record is from RNAcentral.